UGAGGAAUAUUGCACAAUGGGCGCAAGCCUGAUGCAGCGACGCCGCGUGGGUGAAGAAGGUUUUCGGAUCGUAAAACCCUUUUCUGUGUGACGAGAACGGACGGUAGCACAGGAAUAAGUCUCGGCUAACUACGUGCCAGCAGCCGCGGUAAAACGUAGGAGACAAACGUUAUCCGGAGUUACUGGGCGUAAAGGGCGUGCAGGCGGCAGUCUAAGUCUGGCGUGAAAUAUCCCGGCUUAACCGGGGAAGGUCGUCGGAUACUGGACCUUAAUUGACGCUGAGGCACGAAAGCGUGGGGAGCGAACAGGAUUAGAUACCCGUGUAGUCCCUGAGCGGGCUGGCAAGGCGCAU
This 352-nucleotide ribosomal RNA is filed under the name uncultured bacterium. RNAcentral describes it as "bacterial SSU rRNA". It matches the Rfam family "Bacterial small subunit ribosomal RNA", at positions 355 to 825 of the family's 1533-position model. The record is from RNAcentral.